CACAAUCCGGGUCCAAUGUCACUUCUCCUCAUUAUGUUAAUAGUUAAUACAUGCAAAUGAAAACACUCUAGCAAUUUGAUUUCUUUGAAGAUAGUUUGCAUAUUGUCUUAGCCAUAAUGACUGUACACUUCUCUCAGCCUCCAUUUAUGCAAGGGUAGUGUAGUUCAUUUUUAUCAGCUCCAGUUCAUUUUGGCUGCUAUUGGAAUGUAUGUGCAUGUUUCUUUUUUACCUUUUGCCUAAUUACCAUUCAGGUACCAUAAGCAGAUUUUUCAUGCUAUUGGUGUUUUUCUUAAUUAAGAAACAAAUGAAUUCUCCCUAGCAAAAAAAGAUGGAACAACAGAAUAAGAUGCCAGGGGCUGAUGUUCUGUUUCUUAAUUGAAGCAGUUCUAUUGUUCGGUGUCGGUAGUGAGGGGGCUGAAAUGUCAUAAGUGUAGAAUGUUAAUAGUACAAAAAUAACAUAAAACUACUUUUAAAAAUAAAGAAUACAAAACAAUGCUGUAAGAGCUUUGAAAACAUAGAUUUUUAUCCACAUAUUAAUUCUGACAGUAACAAAGUAGCUUCAUUUACAAAUCCCUCACACUUAGAAAGCCUGAGGUUCUAACCCCAGUCCUGAGAGAUAUGCCUGCCCCACUCUGCUGGUCUAGUUAACAGUGUCCUACUUAUUUACUCUUCAUCAAUUAAGGAAGCACCCAGGGGAACAAUUUGUUUCUUUAAUUUGUGAAUAAACCAUUGCUACUUUAAUUUGCAUUCUUCUUUUUUUCUACCCACAGUAAAAUCUCAAUGUCCUACCAGUAUAUUCAAUAUGCCUUACUACAACCUUAAGGUGCCUGACCUAUGUAUGAGAUGCAUCAAAGAGUCAAAUAGAAUAAAAAGAAUUUAAUAUAUAUGUGAACAAAGCAUAUCAUUAUGUAGUUUUUCCCUAUUUGGAAGGAAGAGGUCAUAAGUAACUCAUUUUAUCAUAAAUAUCUCUAUGCAUAGUGAAAAAUAAAGGUGGA
This 995-nucleotide long non-coding RNA is filed under the name Homo sapiens (human). RNAcentral's name for it is "HSALNT0141681". Lineage: Eukaryota; Metazoa; Chordata; Mammalia; Primates; Hominidae. The record is from RNAcentral.